RNAcentral lists this ribosomal RNA (500 nucleotides) under uncultured bacterium Seq4(Z1). RNAcentral's name for it is "bacterial SSU rRNA". It matches the Rfam family "Bacterial small subunit ribosomal RNA", at positions 384 to 876 of the family's 1533-position model. Lineage: Bacteria; Deltaproteobacteria. The record is from RNAcentral.
UGAUGCAGCGAACGCGCGUGCGGGAAUAAGGCUUUCGGGUUGUAAACCGCUGUCAGGAGGGAAGAAAUCGCUCCGGUAAAUAGCCGGAGUGGAUGACGGUACCUGCAGAGGAAGCCCCGGCUAACUGCGUGCCAGCAGCCGCGGUAAGACGGAGGGGGCAAGCGUUGUUCGGAAUCAUUGGGCGUAAAGCGCGCGUAGGCGGUCUGGUCAGUCGGGCGUGAAAGCCCAGGGCUCAACCCUGGAAGGGCGUUCGAUACUGCUAGACUUGAGUACGGGAGAGGAGAGCGGAAUUCCCAGUGUAGCGGUGAAAUGCGUAGAUAUUGGGAGGAACACCAGUGGCGAAGGCGGCUCUCUGGACCGUUACUGACGCUGAGGUGCGAAAGCUAGGGGAGCAAACGGGAUUAGAUACCCCGGUAGUCCUAGCCGUAAACGAUGGGCACUAGGUGUUGGAGGUAUUCACCCCUCCAGUGCCGCAGCUAACGCAUUAAGUGCCCGCCUGG